This 250-nucleotide ribosomal RNA is filed under the name uncultured Alphaproteobacteria bacterium. RNAcentral describes it as "partial 16S ribosomal RNA". It matches the Rfam family "Bacterial small subunit ribosomal RNA", at positions 524 to 773 of the family's 1533-position model. Lineage: Bacteria; Pseudomonadati; Pseudomonadota; Alphaproteobacteria. The record is from RNAcentral.
UACGAAGGGGGCUAGCGUUGCUCGGAAUCACUGGGCGUAAAGCGCACGUAGGCGGCUUCUUAAGUCAGGGGUGAAAUCCUGGAGCUCAACUCCAGAACUGCCUUUGAUACUGAGAAGCUUGAGUCCGGGAGAGGUGAGUGGAACUGCGAGUGUAGAGGUGAAAUUCGUAGAUAUUCGCAAGAACACCAGUGGCGAAGGCGGCUCACUGGCCCGGUACUGACGCUGAGGUGCGAAAGCGUGGGGAGCAAAC